Molecule: long non-coding RNA, 1352 nt
Organism: Equus quagga
Lineage: Eukaryota; Metazoa; Chordata; Mammalia; Perissodactyla; Equidae
Exons: 6
Source: RefSeq, a predicted model, not a curated record
UCUGUCGUUGACCGAAGUGUUGUUAUGUGGUACCUGACUGUACUAAAAUUUUUAAUUCAGAAGUCAUAGUUUUCAGCUUUAAGAAGUCUUUCAGUGCUGUUUUUUCUCUCAAAUGCUCGUUUUCUGUUUAUUUAUACUUCUAUUCUUGCUCUAACUCUUCCAGAAGUUCAAUUUCAUAAAGUGUGACUUAAGAUUCUUCAAUCUACUCCUCUCAACCAAGCUAUUUUUGGAUCCUCAUAAAAGAAAACUAAAAGAGUUUGUCAUCCACUGACCUGCACUACAAGAAAUGCCAAAAGAUGUUCCUCACGAUGAUGGGAAAUUAUACCAGUUACAUAAAAAAGGGUGAAGAGCAUCAGAAGUGACAAGAGAAUCUUGGAAUCACGUACUGGAGGUACCACAUUUACUCAGUGAUUACUUUGCCAUGUGAUAGCCAAUCUUCCCAGAUAUUUCAACUUCCUUCAGCAAACAAAAAUCGGAUGAAAUAAGAGAGAAACUACAGUCACAAGGGGAGCAAGGCACCGUGUGAACCUGAUGGAAGUGGACUCCACUUGGCACCUUUGUGCUGACUUAGUUCAAGCCCUUGGCGUCUCUCCAUCAGACACAGCCUGGGGUAUGAAGAUUUUGUAUGAGGCCAAUCAAAACCUGUGACAGAGUAGAACUGAACCAACAAACCACCUUUUUGUUAAGACAGUUCUGAAUACUAGUCUCCAGAGACAAAAGUUCUGGUCCUGGGUAGAGAGAGGCAUUGUUCAUGAGAGGAAAACAUGGAGAAACAUAUUCAUCCUGGGCCCUCAGAAGUCAGGAAAGGAACCUGAAGAAUACACUUUGCCACAAGGUGGAAAAUAUGCCAGACAGGUCAUGCAAGUCUUCACUCUGCAUUUAUGUUAAAUUUAAAUUUAUCAUUUGCUUUUCUGGAUUUCUACACCAGUCUUCUGUGAGCAGGAGCAUAUACCUGUCUGUCUUCUCCUCCAGAUGUGUGAAAGGAAAUGAUAGAAAGGAGCAUGAAGUUACAAAAAGGGGAAAGUAGCUUCUGAAAGUGAUCUCCAUGGCAGUGAGAUGGUCAAAUGAAAGGCAAAUGGGGGAGUGGGACUACCUGAGUCUGGAUUUCUGUCUUCACCAACUGUGAGACCUUGGCCAUGUUAUGAAUCCCUCUGUGCCUGAGUUUACUCAAUUGUACAAUAGGAAUCAUAACAGUACCUCCCUUAUUGUGUUGUCAUAAGGACUAAAUGAGUUAAUGCAUAUAAAGCGUGUAGAACAGUGCCAGGCACGCAGGAACCACUCAAUGAAAGUUGGCCAUUAUUAUUUGGAAAGUAAGACAUUGUAAAAUGUGAUUUCCAAAGCAGUAGCAGAGA